This 18292-nucleotide long non-coding RNA is filed under the name Lactuca sativa (garden lettuce). Its description in RNAcentral is "long non-coding RNA (LSAT_LNC007073)". The record is from RNAcentral. Lineage: Eukaryota; Viridiplantae; Streptophyta; Magnoliopsida; Asterales; Asteraceae.
UUUUUUUUUUAUAAAUUUAAUCUACUUUUAAAAUACUCCUAAUCCAUUCGAAAUCUAUUCAUGUCUCCAAGACUUCUGCCCUCCGCUUAAUUUUUUUUUUCUUUCAUAACUUUCCAUGAAAUGUUUGCCCCAAUUUUAAUGAAAUGUAUUGCCCCAAUUUUACACUUUUAUUGACUACGAUAGACCACAACCAUGAUUUGGUACGGGAAUACUAGAUGGGGAGUAAAUGUGAAAAUACAAAAAAUAAUUUUUAUAUAUAAAAUUACACAUUUAACCCGAAAAAUGCAUGCGUGUCUCUCGUUUAUGAUUUAUCACGUAAGUCGAGGGUAGAAAUUGGGAAAAUCCAACAUUCUGAUUGUAAUACAAAAGGCUAAUUCGGCGUAUCACAACACUACUCUCUCUCUCUCUCUCUCUCUCUCUCUCAAUAUCGUUCGGUGGUUCUACCGGCGGCGUGUAGAGUAAAUGCCUAUUCAAAAGCAUUCGGAUGAUUCUCUGUCCGGAGAUGAGGAUGAUGUUGAGCUGCAACGUACUAAUCAGAAUAUUUCCGGAGAAUCCGAAGAAGACGACGUAGAACAAGAGGGAGAAGGUUUGUUCGUAAACUAUUUCUGAUUUUAGUAGUUAUACGUUCGAAUUACGUGGUUUACUGAUCCGCAUUCGUGUUUAUUACUUGAAUUUUGGUUUGCUUGAUCAGCAGAGUCGGAUGACGAUGGAAGCCCUUCCUCUAGUAGCAGCGACAAAGACGAGUGUGUUCGCCUUCUCUCUUUCUAUUUCUAUCUAUAUAUACACAGAUAACUUGCCCUAUGUUUCUGUUUGAGUUUGUAUUGUGAUUAUUAAUUUGAUCAGCGUGCUUUUAACUGUUCGUAUAGUCACUUGCGAUUGAAGAUAUGCAUGUUUUUUUUAUGAAUUUGAGUUAUUAGUCUCACUAAAUGGUGAUUUACCCUAUCGGUGGUUCUUAAUUCUGGUAGAGUAGUAGUUGGAUGUCAACAGGCGAACAGUGUAAGAAAAUUCCGUAGCUAUCUGCAUAUCCCUCUGAUUGCUUCUCCAAAUCCAUUUUUAAAUUCAUAUUUUUUAUAUUUUAAAAUUAGGUGUGUUUUGUCUGAGGAAAUUGGUUGUGAUCGUCUUUUUCACAAUAUAAACUGGAAUUUGGAUGGUGCUUUUAUGCAUGUUGGUUGACAUCAAGAUCAAAACAUAGCUUCUAAGCAAAGGCAAAGGCAAUGUUUGAUUUUCUGGUGUGACUUGUCUUUACAAAGAGAACUUAUUGAAAAGUCAACGAAGAACUAGAUAUAACAUGGAAGCCACUAAAUCUCAUCUGACCUACAUGUAAUUUAUGAAUUAAAUAUUAUUAUUUUUAUCAGUGUUGUGGAUACGUUCAUCUUUGACUUCAAAAAUGUAUCAGAACUUAAGAGUAGAACAAUUUGUCCUUGCAUAUAUAUAUGAGGGGCUAAGCCCUCAAUGGAAUUUUGUGGACCAAUCAUUUUCUAUGAGAAAAUGAGCUAAUAUUUAGAAUCAUAUAUGCAGUCCCUCAAUGGAUUGAUUAUCGGUGUAUGUAGUAACUAAGUCAACAAUAAAAUAGAAAUAGAAAUAGAAAAUGCCUCUGUUCUUCUGUAAAUCAGAAAAAAGAUAAGUAGCCACUUCCAGUUUCUGAAAAUGCAUAUAGUUCAAAGCACACACAAAAUAUUGCUCCAAGUGUCAUAUUAUUUAAAUUUUAAAAAGGGUAUUCAAAUUGAUAUUACUCAAUCAACAAACAUGCUUAUGAAUGUUCAGUAAUUUAUUCUUUUUGAACUGUGUUACAGAUUUGUUUAUGUAAAAUUGGCUGAUGUUCGCAAGGAAGUGCAGUGCCCAAUUUGUUUAGGUACUACUUUGACUUCUUUUUAAAGACGUAAAUACCCUCCUCAUCAAAAUAAGCCCUAAAAAGCUUGUAAUCACUAACCACUACCUUUUCAUCAAUAGGUAUAAUUCGGAAGACCAGAAAGGUUAUGGAAUGUCUUCACCGGUUUUGUAGAGAGUGCAUUGACAAAUCCAUGAGACUUGGGUAUGUAUUAGAAAAUUUAAAUGUUUUAAUGCUUAUCUGAUUUUUGUUUUUUGUUUAUGAUCUUUGACUUUCUUUGACCAAUAUGCAACAGGAACAAUGAAUGCCCUGCAUGUCGUGCUCACUGUGCAAGUCGCCGAUCUUUGAGAGAUGAUCCUAAUUAUGAUGCCUUGAUUGCACUCUUGUAUCCUGACAUUGAUAAAUAUGAGGAAGAGGUACAUACAUUAUGACCUAUCACUAAAUGCACUUUCAUUUAUUUUUCUUAUAAUUGAAAAAUCUAUCCAUCUAUAUCAGUGAAAUUGCUAAAACUCUGGUGACAUUGCUGUAAUUGUGUUUAACCUAUUACCUAUUCAUUCUUCACUGUGAUGUCAAUAUGUGAUGCCUGAAUGCAGGAAUUGGCCUUUCAUGAAGAGGAAAAAGCUCGGAAUAAACAGGUGUAGAUUACUUUAUUUGUAGGUUUAAUUAGAAUACAUGAUUGUAGUUUCGUUUAUCUGUUUAUUAUAACAAUUUUCACGUUCUAUAAUUGUGUAGAUAUUUCAAAAUACAAUUGUCAUAAUUAUAAGAAAAUAAAAUGAAAGUAGAAUGUUAUAAUUGGGUAAAUGUUGUUGGACAGAUCCAAGCAUCCAUAGCCCAAACUUCUCGGCGCCAGCUGGAAGCAUUAGGAAAAAAACGUGCAACUGCUAAAGCGACAGCCACCGCCUUCAUGAGAAGGUCACAGUCAAACCCUAGAAAUCUGAGGGGAAGAAAAAGACAAAAAUCCACCGAACCCCAAGUUUCCGAAAACGACCUCGAUGCUGAUAAUGAUAAUGGAGACAAAUAUUCAUCAUCUACAGAUGAGCCUGAGCCCUCAACAGAAGUCAAACUCAAAAGGUACAAAAGAUGGUCAGGAGGUCAAUCAAGUGGCGGGAAUGGAAUCUGUGAUGCCAUUUCCAAUGAGAGAGAUGGAAUUAGAAAAAAUGGUCCAGAGAUUUUGGCAUGGGGUAGGGGUGGAAUGCGGAGUCAUACGCGACAUGGUGGUCAAAGUAGUGGUGGUGGUAAAAUUGGGAGGAAUGGUCAUAUCUCAAAGCUGAUUGAUCAUCUUCAAAAGUUGCCAAGAAAUGAUGAUAAGGUAAGUAAGUUUGGUGGUGUUUGGUGUGAUGGAAUGGAAUUGACAUUCCGUCAUGGAAUGGAAAUUUGCAAUAUUAUGCAAUCAUUUCAUUCCUUCAACUUCAAACCAACUAAACAUGAUAAUGGAAUGUAAUCAUGUAUUCCAUUCCUUUGUGAUUCUAUUCCAUCACACCAAACACACCCAAAAUUUCAUUCAACACUCGAAACUUUUGAUGACUAUAUGCUAUUCUCCAGCUGGAAAUUCAUUUGAAGCUCAUAUCAUUGGAUGAGCAAAAUAUGCCCAAUUUGAAGACUAUAUUUGUUUGCUGCAAGUCCACCAUGUCAACUACAAACAUCUCUCAGGUAAAACAUAUUUUCUACAUCUAAUCUUUUCACAAACUGAUACAAUAUUUUGGUCAUUUCUUUCUAUUAACAACAUUAUACUUCAAAUAUUUUUCUUAUGAUACUUUCCAAUAAGUACAAUGUUGUAAUAAUAGGGAAACACAAUACAAAAGUAGUUAUAACUUAUAACUUGUAAUAAACAAAUCAAUGAAAGUAUGUUGCUAUUUCUUGCCUUAACCGAUGCAUGUUUAUAAUUAGUUUGUUGCUCAUGAGAACAAUAUGCAAGCCAAUGAAAUCGAGUUAUUGCUUGUGAAAGGAGAUGAUUCAGAACACAAUCUUUCACCAUUGGAAGAACAUCAAAUCUUGUUAGAUCUUGUCAAAACUUCAAGCCAAAACAAUCUGGUACACUCACUUACUUUCCUGAGAAAAGGGCGUUUAUGUCUUUUACACAAAUGAGAGAUCUCGUCCCUGACUCACCUUUCUGUUCUGUUAAUUAAUUCUUUUUAGGGGAUGCGUUUAAACAAGAAAACAUUUCAUUUGUUAUUUUUACAUUGCUAAAAAAAGUUCCCAAUCAUAACCCUAUUUUUUUUUGGUGUGUACAGACAAUAGGUUACAGGAAGAAGUUGGUUGUUGGGUAAUAAAGUCAUUGUGAAGCUGUAUUUGUCCUGGAAAGCUUGUUACUUAUUUUUAGUCAAACCAGGGAGGAAGAAUGGGAGGAUAUGUGAGAGAAAGUUAGUGAACUUAUGAAUAUAAAUUAUGGUAGAGUGUACAAGAACUGAGGUAAAUACAUUAAACUAUCUUUUUAUAUUACAGUGGCUGAAAAAAAAAAAAAAAAGGUCUACAGAUAUAGGUUUGUAUUGGUUCAAAAUGGCAGGUAAUAUGAUGGACACCCUUUUGUUUGACCUAAAGUUCGUUUACGGAAUUUGAGAAUGACGACCUGUAAAAGUUAUGUAAAAAUUGGUGUAUAAGUGGUAAACGCCAGCCUCAAUGUGGAAGUGUUUUUGCUGUCGGUAUCCUAUGUGGCUUGGAUUGUUGGUAAACACCAGCCUCAUUAUUACCACAUUGUUCGGCCUAAGGGAGUGUUAGGGACAAAAAUGACUUUUUUGUCCUUAUAAAUGAGUAAUUUAACCAUUAUAAAUGACUUUUUUUUUUGACAAAAAUGACCAAAGUUUUUUCUAUCGUUUUUUUCUUUUUGUAAAGUAACCAUAUUUUCCCAAACACAUGGUUUCAGAGUACGAUUCCGGACCAUGGUUCCGGAACACUUGAUUUUUUAUUUUAUUUUAUUAUUUUUUUGUUUUAUUUUUUGUUUUUUCAAGAGUUAGAUUACUCAAUUUCCCUUACCCUUUAUAUAAUGUAUAUUCAUUUCAGACAGGCCUUCGGUGUUAGUAUGAUUCCAUAACGUUUUCUUAUUGUUAUUUGUGAUUUGUGUAAAUAUGUUUUUAUUAUUUUUUUUUAGAAGUUUUGUUUAUAUAUUAAAUAAAAUGCAAUGGAUAAUCUUAAAAUCAACAAAAACUAGAGAUGUCAAAAAGUUAUGUGGGACCUCGAUCCUCUAUGGGAGAUAUUUAUUUAAAAAAUCGGGGGCGGGAGUAAUGUUUAUUCCCGUUCUAAUUUCGGGGGCGGGGAUGGGCAGUCCCAUCCCGAACCCCGAAUGGGGUCCUCGUUAAUAUAUUAUUUACAUUAAUAUAUNNNNNNNNNNNNNNNNNNNNNNNNNNNNNNNNNNNNNNNNNNNNNNNNNNNNNNNNNNNNNNNNNNNNNNNNNNNNNNNNNNNNNNNNNNNNNNNNNNNNNNNNNNNNNNNNNNNNNNNNNNNNNNNNNNNNNNNNNNNNNNNNNNNNNNNNNNNNNNNNNNNNNNNNNNNNNNNNNNNNNNNNNNNNNNNNNNNNNNNNNNNNNNNNNNNNNNNNNNNNNNNNNNNNNNNNNNNNNNNNNNNNNNNNNNNNNNNNNNNNNNNNNNNNNNNNNNNNNNNNNNNNNNNNNNNNNNNNNNNNACGAGAAUUUCGGGGGUGGGGGCGGGGAUGCCGUUUGUCCCCGUUGACAUCUUUAACAAAAACCAAAUAGAUUUAUAAACCAAAGGCAGUUGUUUAAAAAUAUUACAAUGUUCAAGUUAUCUUAUUCCUUAUAUUCCAAAAUAUUUAUGUCAGUCGUUUACGAUAUGACAUAACCCAUGUAACGUUUGGACCGUUUAUAGAAUACGACUUCCUGGUGAUCAAUGCUUCUAGGAACCAACACAAAAACACCUCGCAAUCACCUCUGCAGUCAGUCAAUCUGUUGUGGUACUUGUGACACAUAAUGUGCUGUCAAUCUGUUGUGGUACUUGUGACACAUAAUGUGCUGCCAAUUAAAUACAUUUGUAAUUAAAUAAGUGUUGUUAGUAGAAGGGUAGUACGUAAAUGAGCAGGCUAAUAAUGUAACUUACACCACAUUCCAACCACCCUACAUGACUAUCCGUAUAUAAAGGCGUCCAAAAUUCAAUCGUCGAAAUACCAGUCAAAAAAUGGUGAGUGAACAACUCUGAACCAUCUCGUUGUUUAUAAAGAGUGUGUAUGGCAGGUUCUAAGAGAUUGUCCAACGGCGCUGGAUGUUGUCAUACAACAUAUUUCCUUUUCAUUUGUAUCCAUGGGGACUUAUACUAUAUGGACAUUACUUUUUGGCACAUAGAAUGCCGAAGUGCUUGCGAGGGUGUUUUGUAUUGAUCCUGCGGAAUUUCUUUUACAUCCGACGAAUGAAUAAAUGGAGAUGGUUGCUCAAGGCCAUCAUGUAGCGGGUUUUCAGGUGUGUCUGACCCGUAAUCACGGUCCCAUAAGUAAUUGACUUAUAUUUCUAUUUUGACUAGAAUGUGCCUGAUGCAAAAAGGUAUUGACUGUUAGGCUGUGUCCCUAAGGAUUCGACCCUGCUUCCCUGUGCUAUACUAUUAAAAACAAUUUCGUUUCUUUGAAGUUUUGAUUUUUAAUGUUCCAAAUGUGUUAAAACAUCUUUUUAAACCUUAAAAAUAAAUCUCGGGGGUACAAAAAUCAUUUUUCUGGGCGAUUUGGGAUUUCGGGGGUCCAAAAUUUGGCAUUGACAAACAAAGAGAACACGGGCAGUGUCCCUUUUUAGCUUGAAAUGAAACACAGGUUGUGUCGAAAUUAUUUUUGAACAUGUCCUGAAAAAUCCUCGCGAACACAGGCCGUGUUAGUUUAGUGCAAAUUAACACGGGUCGUGUUUAAACUUCAACGCCAUUUUCAGCCUUUUUUGAUGAACACGGGCCAUAUCAUUUUAGUGCAAAUCAGGAUGGGCCGUAUUCAUGCACUCGUUAAAAAAUUGUGUUAAGUGUCAAAUAUGGUUUUUAUCACCUGUAACUCAUCCCCAAAACAAUUUCUCUCUUCCAAGAACCCUUGGGUCCAAAACUUUCACAACCUUUUUUGGGUGCUUUUGUGUUUGGUACUCAUGUAGGAAAGCUUGGGGAGGUUGAAGAUGAGGUUCUCACCACCAACAUCAAGGCUCUAAGAAAGAUUCGGUAAAUUCUUUUAAUAUCUUUAAUCGUUCAUAUUUUGCAUAAAAAAAUCAAUUGACAGGCCGUGACUAUUUUGGACUCCUUCCCAACCCGACUACCAUCCCCCACCACCUUCUGGUGAUUAUAUAGUUUAUCCCUAUCUGAGCAUCGACGACGAUGCUUAUAUUCAAUCUUAGGGAGAGGUAGAGUUGAUACAUUAGGAUUUAUCUUCAUGCAUUGCAUUUGCAUUUAAAAAAAUAAAUCAAUAAAUUCAAAAAGAUUUUAACUUUCUUAUUUUCAUUUUUCUCUUGCAUUCUGCAUUUUAAAAUUUACAAAACCAAAAAGAUUUUCUUUCUAUUUUAAUUUUAAAGUUUUUGCAUUUCAUUUUUUGCAUUGCAUCCAUAAACUUAAAAAAAAAAAAAAAGUCAAAAAACCGAUCCAUCAAUUAUAAGGGGUGCGGGUAGUUGACCGCCUUGAAGUCCAAACACAUAAAAAAAUAAAAAUAAAAUAACUCCUCACUUCGAAUGUGUCUCGAAUAAUAACGAAUGAUAGACUUGAAUGUGUCCUCCGUGUCGUGGGUUUGGUAACUCAAAAAUAAGGGGUAGAUGAUUUUCUAUGUUGAGUCAUGGAGUAAAGAAGGGUGAAACAACUUUUGAAAAUACCUCGCUCUUUAAAACCCGAUACUUAACGCCAACUCCUAUUUGAAAAGACCGAGCAUCCAUCUUUAUAAUAACUUUUGGGUAGACCUCUUGAAAGGGGAUUCUGUUGCAUCCACACGUGUACACAUCGUCUAAAGUAUUGAAUACUUGGUUGGCCAUUGCACUUAAUCGGGCCAAAAUUUACAUAAGAAAAUGAUUCAAGAAUCAAUAAAGCCACAACUAAAGAAGAAUCCACGAACCAAGUCUUACACCAAAGAGAUUUAGAGCAAGCAAGUCAAAUAAAAAAAAAAGCAAUAUCAAAAAAAACAAAAGAAAGCAACUUGAAGAAGGGAAAGACAAAGUUCAUCAGAAUAAGUCAAAGAAGUCAAUUUGAAGGUUAAAGACGCAAGCAACACAAGAUCUCGAGUGGAUGUAAAAAUCGGUACCUUUGGGAGUAAGCCUGAGAUGGACAGUGAGCAUUGGGAUGGAAUGAAAGGUUGAGUCAACCCGGAGUACACUAAGGGAGUUUAGACAAGCGUUCCCUUUUUUAAAAUAUGAUACCUUCCCAAAUAAAAUAAUUUGACACCGAGGUUGUCUACAUUUUAAAAACCAUUGAAUGUGUGACUUUCAUAUGAUGUCUUAUGACCCUCUGACUUUGAACUCUGGGCCCAUGAUUGGCAUUUAAAGGAUAAAGUCCAAGGUUUGACUCUGUUGAGACUUUCUUGAAGUUAGAAUAAUAAAACGAUAACAUUUUGUGUUUGGAUAGUUGGUAAUUGACUUUCAUGCCCUGGUGAUCGCACAAGUAGAAUUAUGAAAUUUGGAUAAAAAACAAUUUUGUUUACUUUUAUUUUGAAACUUCUUAAGUUUAUUUUCUAGUUUCUUUUGUACAUAUGUUAUUUUCAUGUUUUUUAUUGCAUGCAUUCGUUCUUAGCUCCUUUAUGAUCUUUUCGUCCCCUUUCUGUUCUAUGUUUCUUUUUUCCAUCUAGAAAUCAUCCCGUUUUGUCUGAUUCUCGUUCUUUCUUGAGGACAAUAAAUAUCUAAGCUUGGGGAGAUUUGUUAGGUGAAUUUCGUGCACCUUCUUGCACACUUUUUCGUCCCUUUUAUGCAUCCGUUUAGUGUAGUUUAUUUCAUUUUAUAUUUAAUUCAUUAAAAGUCAUGUUAGUUUCUAGAACAACCUUAUUUGCACGUUUUUACAGUCCUUUCAGGUGAUCCAGAGGUGGAAACGCGGUUCGGGAGGUGCCAAGAAGCAUGAGUGAAGGUAACAGGACGAUUGGACGCGAUUUUUUUUUUUUGAAAAAACAAGUUUUCACCCGGAAGCAGAGACGAACACAGACCAUGUCGAAAAUUGCACUGAAAAUUGAACAUGGGGCGUGUUUGAUCAAAUUUGAGCUGUUGACUUUGCUGAACAGGGACCGUGUUGUUUUAGCCUAUAUCAACACGGGCCUAUAUUAACAUGGGCCAUGCUCGACCCAAAAAAAAAAGAACUAACUUUUUUCAGUUUUUCCUAUCUUUCAUAUUACAGUAUUUUGGGUAUUUUUUUCACACACACUUCAUCUCCAGAGAACUUGGAGAAGAGGAUUUUGAGUACUACUUAAAGGUUUUGAUUGUAAUCAUUUUAAACAUUUUGUCUUUAUAUUUGUAAGUCUCGUUGCAAAUUAUUUCAUCUUUUCGUAAACUUAUAGAUUAUUCUAGUCAUGUGCGGCUAGAACCUUAGUUUCUCCAACUUUAUGUUUGACUUUUUAGUUGUGAUUUCAGUCAUAUGACUUUAUGUUUUAUUUCAAUUUCUAUCUAGUGAAUUUGAUUUUGUUUUAAUCGAAUGUUUGAUUCUAAUUGUAAUUCUUAUUGGCCAUCUGAAUUAAGGUUAGCUCAUUCAAGUUAUAUAAUUGCAAAAUCCGUAAUUGUUUUGUGAAGUAGACUAUGUAGCAAGUACUAAAUUGAUUUCCAUUGGAUGAAUUUUGUGUAAAUGUUAUUCACACACUCUUACGCUCCCGAGCUUGUGAGUAGUAUUGGGUGUUGUUGGUAACAUUCACACCAAACUUCAUGCAAUCCUUCAAUCUAAUUCUAUGAGCUUGUUUAAGUUAGGUUAUUGAGGUUAGGGUUAAUCAAAUAGCUUAUUUUGGUUAAUUAAUGUGGUAAAUGGAAAGUGUUAGAGAUUGUUAACACUAUUAAAUACUAACUUAGCUUGAAUUUAGUAAAUAUCAUGUUAUCUUUGAAUCGCAUUGCCAAGUGUCAUACAUGGAGUUGGAGCCUUUCAUAAAAUAUGAAUUUAUUUCAAUUAGUUGAUCGUGUAAUUGUUUCUUUAAUCAUUUAAUUGAAUUAUUGCAUACAAAACCCCCUUUGUACUUUUGGUGACAUAAAUACCUUACAUAAAGAGGUAUAAACUUUAGUCACAUGUCUCUGUGGAUCGACCAUGUUUAUCAUGUACUACCUUUUAGUGCAAUAUAGUGGUGCUCUUUUGGAGUAUAUUGUACACCUAUCAUUUUUUAGGUUUGACAACCUAACACACACCCAAAAUAUUGAUAGUGUUCCAUGAUUGACCUCACAUAUAGGCCCUUAGGUGGGUUGACGUGGUCUGCUUAGAUGGUGCGGUUUAUCACCCUUUUAAUAUCCACCGUACCAGUUUCAGAUUUUUCAGUAUGGAUGACAAGAAAAAAACAAGCUUCUUUAAAAAAAAUGCUUUUAUAAGAUGUCAUCUGUGAAAUUACAGAUGACGUAUAAGAAAUACUUUUCACAUAUGGUCUCCGUAACUUUGAAGAUGCCAUCUACAAAAUCCUCCCAGACAACUAAAGUCCCUUUGUUUUUUCCUACUUAAAUACAUACCAUAUUUUUGCAAAUCACUGCCAAUUCCGAAGUGUAACACCCGAGUUCCCGAUGCAUAUUUUAUCUGAUUAAAUGUUAAUUUCUAUUUUUUUUUUCGAGUUUUGCGGGAGGCAUAACACGCCUUGAUGAUGUGAUGAAGCCUUAUUCCCUGGAUUUGAGCAUAUUUAUGGGGAACAAAGCCCUAUGGUUAGGUCAUUCUCAACCUCCAUCACCCUCCAAAAGAUCUUUGUGAAACCUAGCCUCCUCUUUCUUGUUCAUGAGCAUUUUUGGUGAUUUAGAGUUUAUUUCAACCAUUUUGGUGAAACUUGAACGACAAGAAGUUUUCCUUUAUUGAAGGGAAAGUGGUUUCAAGUGUAGAUCCAUCAAAAUCACUCCAUUUAUGUACCUUUGUGAGUAUAAAUUUCAUAUCUUAAUCUUAAGAUUCAUUAAAUCUUGUUAUGUGUGGUUUUUGGCCUAUUCUGUCCCUUUUUCGUUGUGUUCUUAGGCUUGAGAGAACUCCAGAAUCGUUUGAGCACCUUGAAAUGCUUCUUGGACAUUUUGGAGAUGGAAAAAUGGGAUUUCAUUAUUUCUUAUUAAUUCAAGAAAGAUUUAUUGUACAUUUAAUCACUUUUGAGACUUUGGGUUUUAGAUCUUGCUUGUUUGGACUUCCUAAAUGGAUAAAAUUAGAAACUUUAUCCAUUCAGGGACUAAAGGGAUUCAAAUCUAAGGAAUAGGACUUCUGACUUACUGUAUUAAGUCAUUUUGGUUGGCUGUUUAGCAUGGGGGGUGGCGCAUAUUUUUAAAAUCCCAAGUAAUUUAUCUUUUAGUGGUUGUGGAGCACCCAAAAAGGCCAUUGAACGCAUUUAACCAGAUUGUUGACUUCUUAACUUUUUAAAACAAGUUUAAAUUUGGUUCAAACUUUGGGAUUUUGAGCUAUAUACUGAUUUUUAACCUUUUUUUGGUGUUUAGUUGGUUUGCGAGCUUGAUCUGUGCGAGUAUUUGUGUGUGCAACAACAAUUCUUUAGUUUCUUGUUCAGGUGAGUCUUCUCACUAUACUACAUAUGAAUUUAUAUAUCCUUUGUAUGAUAUGAUAUAAAUAUUGUUUUUGUGAGGUAUAUGGUUGAUAGAUUAUCUGAUAUUGUUAUGUGUUGUGUUUAGAUGGGGUAUUGGUAGUAUUGGUCAAUUGUUGAGUGAAUACCCUAGGGGUUGCACGUAGUUUAAAUUAGAUAGCGUGAGAACUCUUAUUAUGGCCUUAUUGAUGUAACAUCCCAAAAACUGUGAUAAAGUUUUCAUUUUUAAAAUCCUCAAUCACAUACAUCAUAUGUGUAAAAAAACAACCAUGAUACAAACUAUCCAAAACAUCAAAGUAAAAGAAAAUCAUAAUUGUGGAAACAAGAGGGGGAAAAUGGUGUGCCAUCACGUCAUGCCCUUCCUUUUUGAACCGGAAGUAACUGAAACCAUAAACAUAAUUGUAAUCACAAAGAUUAGUGAGCUUCCCUAAAAUACCACACACAACAUACACAUAAAUAUAACAACACAUGGUUGUGUCGGGUCCGUAUCAACCCCGAAUCCAAAAUGAAUCUGAACCCAAAUUGGUUCCAAGCAUAUAACAUACAAUCAUACUAGUAAUAGUCACAUAGUCACAUAUACCCUACACACACAAAUCAAUGGGCCGACAUUGGUGCCUUCGACCCACUAUUGUGGUGAGAAGACUCAUCUCACAGAAAAUGUUCUACUGCUAUUGCUCUCACUGAUAGAGUAUUGCUGCUACACACCACCUAUUCAAUCAAACCAAAUAAACCUUGAGCUCAUCCUCCAAAUUAGGUGCUUGACUAAGAGUCAACUCACGUCAAAAGUUAAUGGUCAAAGUCAACGGUCAACAAUGACUUUAGUCAACCGCCCCGUCGUGGCCACCUAUGGCCACGUCGUGGCCCUCUAGUAACAACCAGACGUGAUUUUUCCCAUCGUCACUUUGUGGUGACCUGAGCCACACUGUGGCAUUGGGUUUUCAACAACUUAAUGGAUUAAGCUCUUUUCUUCGAUCCUAAGGACCCAAAAUUUCAGAUCUGGCCCAAAACAAAGUCUAGAAGGAUAAAGUUUCAAACUUUACUUGAUAAGACCACCCAAAAGGGUCCAAAAACUCAAACCCUGUAUUAAAGGAGCUAAAUAAGACAUGACUUUCCCCAUUAAGCACUUAUUCCAAAAUGUUCGUGGCUCAUUUACUCCAGAACAGUUUCUAGUACCAAAUCCAACAUAAAAGUUGGUGCGUUAUCGUAAUGCCCUGAUUUUCAAAUAUUACAUUUUUGACCCUUAUAAUGAGUUUUGUUUGCAAAAUGGCCCAUAGUGGCAUUGUCGUAAUUUUAGGCUUAAAGUUAGUACACUAGGCAUACGAUGUAUACGCUGAGCAUACUAGGGUGGCCCUAGUACGCUGAGCGUACAUCUCGUACGCAAGGCAUACACACAUGAUGUCUAAACCCUAAUUUUUAGGGUUUUGGCCAUAUAUAAACACCAUUAUAACCUCAUGCUUCACAUUCUCAGUAGCUUCCCUCUAUGUAAAACGUCUUCAAGCAACCAUAAGUGAGAAGAGACCAUUUUGAGCUCAUAGGAGUGUUUUGGAGGUGUGUUUGAAGAAGAAGAAGGUGGUGAGAAGAACUUGGAGCUUGAAAGCACUUUGGAUCUGAGAUUCCUUUCUUGUUUGCAACCUCCAGGAUUGGAUCCGCGGGAGCAAGCAGAGUAGCAAGGAGAGUAUCACAGUGUUCUCGGGUUUCUUCAUUCCAGGUGAGUUUUGCCUCAUUGUACCGUGGGUCGAAGACACUAAUGCCGACCCACUAGUUUUUGGUUAUCUGUUAGUAGAGGGAUACCAUAAGGACUGUAUAUAAUCAUGUAGGAUAGACUGAGGACUCUUGAUCUAGGAUUUCUUACUUGUUUCUUGUUUGGUUUUCGUUCUAGAGUACGAUCACCUAUCUGGGUGUCUAUCUCACCUCUGAUUAUAUAUGGUCAUGCAUUUAUUGGAUUAUUGUUAUUUAGUAUGUUUCUAUGUUGUAGUGAUCUGUUAGAUCUAUAUUCUGUUAUCGAGUAUGUUGUUGUGCUGUGGUGAUCUGCUAGAUAUGUAUAUUGAUGUCGAUUAUGUUGUUAUGUUGUAGUGAUAUGUUAGAUCGGUAUCUUAGUAUGUAGGAUGUUGCUAUGAUAUAGUGCACUGUUGGAUCUAUAUGUUAUCUGUACUUACUGGUUAUCAUCUGGUGAAGUGCCCUAGGACUGUCUGUGGUCAUGUAGGAUAGCCUGAAAACUCUUGGUCUAAUAGUUCUUGCUUGUUCCUUGUUUGGUUGUGGCUCCAAAGUAGGAUCAUCUGUUCGGGUGGUUAUGCAUUUCAUGGAGAUUAGCUGGUAGUAGGACUGUAUGAUGUGAGAGGAAUUGUAGGCGGUAAUGAGAUGUAUGUUUGAUGUUUCCAUGUACUAUAUGCCUACUUGAUCCUUGUUUGUUUAUAUGUCAACAUAUGGUGGUAGUGGGUUAAGGCGAUCCUGCUUUGUGUUGUAGGCCAAGAUACCCGAAGUGGGCCAGCUGUAAGCCGAAGGUACGAAGGCUCUGGUAGAGCGGUUGGGUUGAGGCGAUAGGCCAACAAACCCUGGGUAUUCCAAAUCGAUGGUUGAUUGGACUCGAUGCAUGCUUGUAUGUUUAUCUAUGGGGUAUUUUGGGGGAGACUCGCUAAGCUUUAUGCUUACCCGGUUGUUUAUGGAGACUGAGGCUGAGAAAACCCUAACCUCUUCAUUCUUUUAAAUUGGGAGCAAAACCUGGAAAAUAAGGUUUGUCACUUGCCAGCUGCCAUGUCAUGGCAUAUACCGCCAUGUCGUGACAGCUUAAAUGAAACACGCGACCUGAUCUUGACUCGCUGCGUCAUGGUGCCUCCCUAUCACGUCGUGGCAAACCUUAAAAAUCCAAAAAUUACAAAAUAUAAAGUACCUCGGGAUCCGGGUGUUACAAUUGAAUGGUUCUUUUCAGAUUGAUUGCACUCGGGUAUGAUCAUUUGUUUGACUGUCUAUCUUAUUUACUGACUACGUAUGACUAUGCAUUCACAAGGUGAUCCUUAAAUAUUGGCAUUAGUAAUCUGUAUAGGUUUGCUUGUAUAGGGAUAUGCUUUGUCGAGAUUAUGACAAGAUUGGAACAGGCUGUAAGGCAAACAGGUUUGGUUGACAAGAUGGGAACAGGUUGUGAGUCAAACAAGCCCGGUUGGGAUGAUAGCAAGACUAGAGUAGGUCGUGAGCUAUAGAGGUUUGAUAUAUAUAUAUAUAUAUAUAUAUANNNNNNNNNNNNNNNNNNNNNNNNNNNUGUUGUGAUCGACUGAAUCUGAGAGUCGUUGUUUGUAAGUAUUGUAUGUAUAGUGGAAUAUGUGGUGUACUGGGGAACUCACUAAGCUUUAUGCUUAAGUUGUUAAAUCAGGUUGUUCGAGGGAAGGUUGUGGUAUAACUAUACAUUCACAUCGAAGAUUUAUUAUUAUUGACUUCCAUUGCUUUUAUAAAUUAACUUUGUUUCACUAUGUUUUAGAAACGAAAGGAUAACAUAAUAUGUUUUCAGAAUUGUGCUUGAAUGUUUAAUCUGGUUUUAAAUGAAAAUUUUGGUUUGAAAUUUGGAACGUUACACGAAGAUAUCAUCUGCAAAAUUUAUGGCUAUUUUGGAGAUUUGACAAAAUUUUGAUUAUUUACUGGUAAGUGUUUAAUGGAAUUACACAUAAUUGUCUUUUUCUCCAUAUUUUUGGCAAGACCAUGAUAUAAAUAAGAGAGUACUUAUGCUUAUUAUGUAUUCAUAAUCUUAGGCGAGAUGUGACAUAAAACAAGUUCUUAAUGUAACAUGUCGACGUUAGAUACAUUCCACAUCGUACAUUUCUGACUAGAUAGUGUAUAUUAUGCAAUGUUUCCAUCAUUUCUUUCUUAACAACCAAGAAUUCGUAAUAACAUAUUCAUAUAAAAAUGAGUUCAUCAAAUCGAGUUCACAAAGAAAGCUUUGCAAACCUCCUUAUUGAUUGUCAUAAUCAUCAAAUAACUAACCCAAUAAAUUCUAUUCACAUCAAGAAAGAUGUGAACAACUAUUUUGAGUUUUGUUUUCUUGUUUUGAGAUGUGUAAUAAGAUACUUUUGUAAUAUAACGCUCGUUUGUCAUAAAUAUUGUUAUGAUUGCUUGUGUAAUAUUUUGUAGAUUCCUACAUUUUUGAGUUGCAUGUGUGAUAAGAUACCACUGGUCUUUAUAAGUAGUCUCUCUCUAAAAGGAAACUACUUGCACAUGAUGUUCAUAGUGUUUGCCAAUGACGAAAACCAUCAAACUCUACCUCUAGUGUACGUUUUGGGCGUGACACAGAGUGUCACAUCUUGGUCCUAAUCAAGGGCAUUUGGGAAGUAGUACUUUUUAACCAAUUUGUCCUUAUUACAUUGAAAUUACCCUUAGUCAUGUCUUCUUAUAUUCAUAUGGUAAGUAUUGUUGUUGGAAUAUCAUUCUUACUUUCAAGUUUGCCUUUGGUGGGUAGGUGUUUUUUGUAAGGAUCAAAUUUGACAAAGGCCAAAGGAAAAUUAAAAUGUUAGGAAAAAUAAAUGUUUGGCGAAACAUCUCAAUAAACUUUGUUCUCAGUUUUCCAAAAGUUUUUUCAUAGUAAAAAACUUUAAAAAAUUGUUGGUGAUGUUAUUAGUAUCAUAAAAUGCGAUUGUUAUAGACGUGAUAAAAUUUAUCUUUUUCAUGAACAACUCUAUUUCAUGGGUAAGGUGCAAACAAACCAAGCUACUCGAGAUUGAAUCGUUAAAAUCUCGAUUUGAGAUCGAUUAUAAACGAGCCUGAGCCGAGCUCAAGCUUAAUAUUAGGCUUGUUUAUUAAACGAGCUCGAGAUCGAGCCUUUGUUUCUUGGUUUGAUUAGGUUCGCGAGCCUAAACGAGCCUACAUAUAUAAUAAAAAAAUUAUUUUUAUUUUUAUAUAUUAAAAAUAAAUAAUAAUUUAAUAAAUACCAUUUUAGUAAAUUAGAGUAUACCGUAAACGAGUCAGGCUUAAAUCGAGCCCGAUCCCGUACAAUUCUUAACGAGCCGAUCUCGAGCUUUGUACCACAAGGCUCGAAACGAACCGAGCUCAAGCUCAAGCCUAUAAAUAUUUAAACGAGCCGAACCCGAGCCUGGUCAGACUCAAGCUCGAGCUUGACUCGGAUCGUUUGCAGCCCUAAAUCAUGGGAGAUGCGUGAUUAUCUCUUCAUCAGUAAAAUAUAUUAUUUUAAACAACAUCAAGGAAAAUUGUCCGGGUGCACCAUUAUACCAAUUCAAACAAUUGCUUCGGAUUUGAGAUUGUUUUACUUAUUAAAUAUUAAUACUUAAUACGACGUUAUAUUAAUAAAGAAACAAUAAUCAAUAAAACAGCAUUAUAACUGUGCAUUCUAGACAGUUCUUUUCUUCAAAUUUGUAACAAAAGUAAUAUUCCGAAUAUAAUUUUUUUUUUUGGUACGUAACGUUCUUUACGAUAUGUACAAGUUGUCAUGAGGCACACGGAAUAUUCUAACAAAAAUACGUAGGGAAAAAAAAUCACAGCCUUCUAUAAAUGGAUUUGAUCCGUUUUAUACGGGUACCUUGAUGAUAAUCGAAUCCAAAUGCUCAAUCUGUAAAAACUGGUUGCUUUAAAAAAGCAUUAGUUUUUUUUUUUUUCUUAAAUAAUACAUACAAAUAGUCAAGUUUUAUAAAUAUCCUAUAGACAAUUUCAUAUAUCAAUAUAAUUUUAAACUUUUAUAACACCUGGUUUGAUUAAGAUCAACCUUUAAAUUUUAUCCUUUCUCAUCCACCACUUGUGACUUUACACAUUUUUUAUGCCAUUCCUUUGUUUGCUUCAUUAAUCCAAUCAUUGAAAUAUCAGUCUUUAUCCACAAGAAAUAUCCAUUCAAUAUCGACAAGUUGCAAUCACGGGUCAUUAACACACUAAUGAGGGAUAAUUUCGUAAUUUUAAAUUAUAAUCGGAAUCAACAAUCAACAAAAGAUAGACAUCAACACAAGAUAAUAUUAAAAACAUUACAAAAUUAUAUAAUACUAUUAACAAAAAUUAUUAGACCCUAUAGAUAUAAAGUUGAUAAACAUUAAACACUACACAUUUAUAUAGUCGUAUCUCAUAUCCAUAUCCACCGAUCACGGUGUUGAUCCAACGGCCGAUAACAAGGGUACACACGAUAAGCUUCUACACGUCGUAUCAGACGAUUACACUACAGGCAAACAUGAACACGUGGCGAUCAACGAAACAGAGAGUACGAUAUUUACACUCACCAAUCGGUGACUUUAGCAACCGCUUAACGAUGUUUGCUCCUUGUCUCACCACUGUAGAGCCUUCGGAAUCAAAAACAAAAUCACAGAUUAGAAAUCAAAAAGUUAAUACAAUCUUACAGAUCUAAAACAACAUCGAAGAAAUUAAAAUUCGAUUGUUUCAGAAGAACAUAAAGAAGUUGAGAUGAUCAUGAAGUUGACUGUAGAACAGAUUACCAGUCGUAAACAGUUGGAGAUCCGACGGUGCUAGGAUUGUCGAAGUAAUUAGAUCCGACGCUCUUGGUAGCAAGGUUACUACCGGGAUUAAACACGCUCCUCCACACAUUAUCCUUACGCGCCGCCGUUGGCGACGGAGUUGUUGGAGUUCCUGGCGUCGUUGGAGUCGGCGGCAUCGAUAGAGACUUCUGGAACUUGCUGCUUCCUUCUCCUAGAGGUCACAGAUUUUAAUAUAACAGUCAGAUCUAAGUUUCAAAUCAGUCGAUUAAAUCAGCGUAGGAGUUGCAACAUGUUUAAAUUGAUUAACUGUGAGAAUUUGGAACGAUUUAAUUUUGAUUUUGAUUAACAUGAUCGUGCUUAAACAUAUGUGAAACGACGCAUGUGUAAUGAAUAAUUAAUAUAGAUGCAUGGAGAUUGGAGAAAUCAGUAAUUCAGUAUCACCACCUUU